UCCGAGUCGAUCGAUGCCACCAGAUCUCGGGCAAGCACGGCUAAGAAUCUCUCGGCGCAUGCGUAUGCCUGGCGAGGGUCUCUGAGGGAACUCUUCUCCAGCACUGCUACUGGUUUUGAAUCUCAGAGGCAGCUCAGCUUGAGAUUCCAGAGCAAAGAGAAUUGGUAUAUCUGCCCCCUUAGGAAAUAAGGCGACCAUGCCUCAGCUCUGGAGGUACCCAGUCACGGUAAGAUCAACUGCCUAAACUCAC
Molecule: long non-coding RNA, 250 nt
Filed under: Ictidomys tridecemlineatus (thirteen-lined ground squirrel)
Lineage: Eukaryota; Metazoa; Chordata; Mammalia; Rodentia; Sciuridae
Description: lncRNA (ENSSTOG00000034543.1)
Source: RNAcentral